UUACGGGAGGCAGCAGUAAGGAAUAUUGGUCAAUGGACGCAAGUCUGAACCAGCCAUGCCGCGUGCAGGAUGACAGCCCUACGGGUUGUAAACUGCUUUUGUACGGGAAAAAACCCCCGGUCGUGAAUCGGGGUUGAUGGUACCGUAAGAAUAAGCAUCGGCUAACUCCGUGCCAGCAGCCGCGGUAAUACGGAGGAUGCAAGCGUUAUCCGGAUUCAUUGGGUUUAAAGGGUGCGCAGGCGGAAUGAUAAGUCAGUGGUGAAAUCCUACGGCUCAACUGUAGAACUGCCAUUGAUACUGUCGUUCUUGAGUACACUUGAAGUGGGCGGAAUGUGUCAUGUAGCGGUGAAAUGCUUAGAUAUGACACAGAACACCGAUCGCGAAGGCAGCUCACUAAUGUGAAACUGACGCUCAUGCACGAAAGCGUGGGGAUCAAACAGGCUUAGAUACCCCGGUAGA
This 459-nucleotide ribosomal RNA is filed under the name uncultured bacterium. RNAcentral's name for it is "bacterial SSU rRNA". It matches the Rfam family "Bacterial small subunit ribosomal RNA", at positions 339 to 794 of the family's 1533-position model. The record is from RNAcentral.